GGGGGAGCGCCAGAUCCUGGGCUGUGUCCCCCGGCACCCUGGGCUCGGGUCCUGCGCCAUUGGAAUUGCACUCCCGGGGCCUCACAAUCCCCU
This 93-nucleotide microRNA precursor is filed under the name Canis lupus familiaris (dog). Its description in RNAcentral is "mir-8799 microRNA precursor family". It matches the Rfam family "mir-8799 microRNA precursor family". RNAcentral also lists the same sequence under 1 other name. The record is from Rfam by way of RNAcentral. Lineage: Eukaryota; Metazoa; Chordata; Mammalia; Carnivora; Canidae.